RNAcentral lists this ribosomal RNA (425 nucleotides) under uncultured bacterium. RNAcentral describes it as "partial 16S ribosomal RNA". It matches the Rfam family "Bacterial small subunit ribosomal RNA", at positions 354 to 796 of the family's 1533-position model. The record is from RNAcentral.
GUGGGGAAUAUUGGACAAUGGGCGCAAGCCUGAUCCAGCCAUGCCGCGUGAGUGAUGAAGGCCCUAGGGUUGUAAAGCUCUUUCAGUGGGGACGAUAAUGACGGUACCCACAGAAGAAGCCCCGGCUAACUUCGUGCCAGCAGCCGCGGUAAUACGAAGGGGGCUAGCGUUGUUCGGAUUUACUGGGCGUAAAGCGCACGUAGGCGGAUCGUUAAGUCGAGGGUGAAAUCCUGGAGCUCAACUCCAGAACUGCCUUUGAUACUGGGUGUCUGGAGUAUGGAAGAGGUGAGUGGAAUUCCGAGUGUAGAGGUGAAAUUCGUAGAUAUUCGGAGGAACACCAGUGGCGAAGGCGGCUCACUGGUCCAUUACUGACGCUGAGGUGCGAAAGCGUGGGGAGCAAACAGGAUUAGAAACCCUGGUAGUCC